RNAcentral lists this ribosomal RNA (651 nucleotides) under uncultured bacterium. RNAcentral's name for it is "bacterial SSU rRNA". It matches the Rfam family "Bacterial small subunit ribosomal RNA", at positions 239 to 898 of the family's 1533-position model. The record is from RNAcentral.
UAUCAGCUUGUUGGUGGGGUAAUGGCCUACCAAGGCGACGACGGGUAGCCGGCCUGAGAGGGUGACCGGCCACACUGGGACUGAGACACUGCCCAGACUCCUACGGGAGGCUGCAGUCGAGAAUCUUCGGCAAUGGGCGCAAGCCUGACCGAGCGACGCCGCGUGGAGGAUGAAGGCCUUCGGGUUGUAAACUCCUGUCGAGGGGGAGGAAGGCGCAAGCUUGACCGAUCCCUGGAGGAAGCACGGGCUAAGUUCGUGCCAGCAGCCGCGGUAAGACGAACCGUGCGAACGUUAUUCGGAAUCACUGGGCUUAAAGCGCGUGUAGGCGGGCCGCCACGUCGGCUGCUGAAAUCCCCCGGCUCAACCGGGGAACGGGCACCGAUACGAGCGGCCUUGAGGGGGGUAGGGGGACCUGGAACUUCCGGUGGAGCGGUGAAAUGCGUUGAGAUCGGAAGGAACGCCCGUGGCGAAAGCGAGGUCCUGGACCCUUUCUGACGCUGAGACGCGAAAGCCAGGGGAGCGAACGGGAUUAGAUACCCCGGUAGUCCUGGCCGUAAACGAUGAACACUGGGUAGGGGGCUCGCCGAUGGGCUCCCUGCCGUAGGGAAACCGUGAAGUGUUCCGCCUGGGGAGUAUGGUCGCAAGGCUGAA